Molecule: small RNA, 979 nt
Filed under: Pongo abelii (Sumatran orangutan)
Lineage: Eukaryota; Metazoa; Chordata; Mammalia; Primates; Hominidae
Description: retained intron
Source: RNAcentral
AGAGCUGGGCGGUGGCGGGCGCUGCUGAAGGAGUCUCCCUGAGCUCGAGGAGGUGGCGCAAUGGAGGGACUGGAAGAGAAUGGAGGUGUUGUCCAAGUUGGAGAAUUGUUACCUUGCAAGAUUUGUGGAAGAACAUUCUUUCCAGUAGCAUUAAAAAAGCACGGACCCAUUUGCCAGAAAACUGCAACUAAAAAACGGAAGACUUUUGAUUCAAGCAGACAGAGAGCCGAAGGAACUGAUAUUCCAACAGUAAAACCUCUCAAACCGAGGGUAACUAUAUAACCUUUUGAACAGUAUGAACCUUGGUGUUAUGUAUGUUGAAAAAUAUUAUAUUAUCUGUUACAUUAAGGUUAAGAAUAAACACAAUUAUCUGCUACAUUAAGAUUAAAGAAUAAAUACAAUUCUGUGUUAUAUGUUCAGUUUAGAAAUUAUCUGAAGCUUAUAAAACAAAUUUUAUUUUAAAAAAUAAGCUUUUAAACUUCAAAGAAGAGACCAAGGUGCUGUUUCAAACUCCAUCAAUUACAGUGAGAUUUUUAUAGCAUUGGAGAGCCAAUUGCUGUCCCACAUUUUUUUCAAGUCAUUAUUAAAAACUUUCGAUAUAACUUGUUUUGAUUUAUUACAUCUUCUACCAUUAUGAUAAUCUCUACAUCCAAAAAGUUAAGCAAUUAUUUACAGACAUUUUAGCAUAAUAGAUACUGCUUAUUUUGAUGUAUUGACUGCCAGGAUUUGUAAUCUAUAUUAUGUUUCUAAGGAAAAGUUUUAUCAGUUGUUCAGUGUCCACAUAUAGUUAUUGUCAGCUUAUUUUCUUUCUUGAAACCAAAGCAAUGAAUCUAUUGUGAUAAUCUCUCCUUAAUAUCUGUUAUAUAUUAUAGUAAUCCCUUGGUAUCUGUGGGAGAUUGGUUCCAGGGACCCGCCUCUGAUACCAGUAUCUGUGGAUACUCAAACUCCUUAUGGCAUAGUAUUUGCAUAUAACUUAUGC